Molecule: non-coding RNA, 5481 nt
Organism: Punica granatum (pomegranate)
Lineage: Eukaryota; Viridiplantae; Streptophyta; Magnoliopsida; Myrtales; Lythraceae
Source: RefSeq, a predicted model, not a curated record
CAAUGCUUCGCGUCUUGUAAACAUCUACGCCCUUUCUUCGAGUCUAUCGCUCUGUUUCACAUUUCGAUUUUUGCCCUGACUAGCCAUUCCAUCUACAGCAGUCGCCCUCGCUGACUCCCUAGCCCCUAACCUCGCGCUCUACAUGCCAUACAACCCAUGACCAACCCAGCAGCACCAGUGCGUCGGGCUAUUGCCUCUGCCUACCGAACCACGAAUUUCCCAUUCAACCGCUAGUGCCUUUUGGUCAAGUCCCAUUGAAUUUCACGCCUCCAAUUGAUUAUAUUUGCAAGUUUUUUCCCCAGUUCACUAAUGUAGUGUACUAUGCAUUUGAGUCUAUCAUGUGUUUUCGCUAAAAUGCUCCUAAUGUUCCUCUUAUACACUAUUUUACAAUAGGUUUUUUGUUUCUUCCAUAGUUCAAUAGAAGAGAGAAAUGCUACGGCCUUGUCCAGUAGAGUACAUAGUUAAUAGAACGUAGCUGAACAGGUUCAUGAAUUGCUUGCACCUUCUGUUGAUACCUUUCAAUAAAAGGAUUAUACUUUAGCUUUAAAAGAUUAUUUUGUCAAGAAUUACUCUUUUUGUUUCUUUGUUUUUCAUUUUGUUAUCUUUUGUGUUGCAUCGGUUGCAAGAUCACGUUUGAACUGCACAUAUGAAUAAGUUAUUCAAUUUAGCAUCUAAAAAACGUAAUUGAUUUACUCUAGCAACACUACUGCUAGUUGUCCUUUGAUAGAUACUUUGCUAGGUAAAUAUGUCUACUCAUGUAGAUGAUUUUAUGUUUUACUGUAUAUAGCUUGUAUAUGAAGCAAAUAAGUUUUAGGGAGACUUCUUGGUUGUAUGGAGCUAAUUAUGUUGCUUUCCUAACCUUAUAGAUAUUGGAACGAUUGUGGAAGUAGUUAAUAACAUCGAUCAAUGGUGUAUGUGUUCUUUAAAUUUUAGAAAUUUGUUCUUUCAAUUAUGCACUUGAGGUUUCCUUUUGCUUUUGAGUCGUCAGACGCUUUUGACCAAAUUUCAUGACUUUAUUUUCCGACUGGGUGGCCAUUAUAAAGAGUUUUCUGGGACACCUGCUUAUUCCCCUUACACCUUUCCUGUGCUACCUGGCCCCUACUUUGUCAAUCACAGCCCAUUCUUAACGGCCACGACUUGAUGUACUAAUGAUCAACUCACUGACUUGCAGAGCUAUGGCCCUGUUAGCCUGCAUCAUAGAACCCCUAUAGGACCUGUUCGCGCCAUCAAGAACAUUUACAUAACCCCAUUUUGCUUGUGCCUUUUAGGCGAGUCGUCUUUGUCUCCCAUUUACGCCUUCUGCUUCUUCUUCUUUGCUUUCCCCUGCAAUUAUCAAGGUUUGCUUUUGUAGAGCGCUUCUAUUGAAAAUUGGAAGGUCUUAAUAUAAGCCGCAACUUGCAUCCUCUCGCAUCCGAUGCCCCGCUUUUUACUUCAAUUGUUUGAACUGUUUGAACUUCGAUAUAUACUUUACGUUGUUGGUUAAUCAACCUCUGUUGAAAUCCACCAAAUGGAACAACUUGCAUAUUUCAAAUUCUAGUUUAUUAUGCCUAUGUUUAGGGUUAAACAUGACUGUGUUUUUUUCUAGAGAGUCAAGCUGAAUUAUACUAUUAGAUAGAUUAGUAACCUAAUUUUUUCUUCUUUUAUAAUUGAAACAAGAGAUUUAAUUUUUUGUGUACAAAAAUUUGUUAACUCUAGUGCUACUUAAAUUAGAUGAAAUCUUGCAUGGGUCUUCGUUCUAACUAAGAGUUGAAAGUAAUGAAAAUCGUCCUCUGUUGUGUAUUUGAAGACAUGAUACAUCGGGAUUACUGACUCUCACCAUUUAAUUUUUUUGGUUAAAUCUCACCAUUUAAAUUUAAAAUAUAAUGAUGUUCAUUUUUUUUCUAUCUUUACAAUAGGGCUUGCAGCUGGUUGAACAUUGUUGUUUCAUUUUCUUCCUUAUUUUUAAUACUUAGCCUAACGAUUCUCAUAUACCUAAAUGUAUUGUUCCAAGUCCAGUUAAUAUAAGAGUAGAUAAAUCGAGCUGCUAUUAAUGAACCAGGUAAUGUGGCGGUUGCCAACUUAGGAAGCAAAGCAAAACUAUGCAUUUUUAUUUUAGUUACGAACAAUUUGUAUUUUAUUUUUCAAUCAAUUAGUGUGUGUUUGUUUGGAGUUAAAAUUAAGUGCUGAAAAUUAAGUAAUUAUUUUUUAAGUAAUUAAUGAAUUAAGUGCUUAAGUGAUUAAGUUGAUUUUGUUUGGCGUAAAAUGUGGAUGUAUUCUUAGUUGUUACUAUUACCAUUACAAGAUGACCCCAAAACUUUUGUUUUUCUAAACUUUAACCGAAUAUUUAUACUGUAUUAUUUUUGAUGUUUUUAGAAAUUGCAAAAUUUGAUUUUCUUUAAAGGGACAUAUCUUGAACAUAGUGGCUGCGAUCAUCCAGAAGUGGAUGAAAGUUGGUGGUGGCUCGUGAUAAUUUGCUUUCCAUCCUAGCCCUUCUGAAGUUGGUUUUGGUUCAGAAAGAAAGUUUUUAUAUUCACAAAUACAUUGACAUGGGUUAUUUACUGGAUUUAGUUUCGGAGAAUGAAUUCUUUCUCCAAGUUUGCUCAGUCAUCUAAUAAUGCUCUCUCCUUUGGUUCUGAUUCAUUUUUGGAGAAUGUAGAGAUCUUUUUCGAAGCGCUUGCGAGAAUUUGAAGAUGCAGCUUUGAUUCCUCUUUUUAUCUCUAUAAAAUUAUUUUGUUAUUUUGUGCCUGUGUGCAAGCCGAUCUGUAGUUUUAAAUGCUAAAUUGCCAUAGAUUCCCUUCUUCAUUUGCUUGAGGUUUGUUCUCUGGAGAUUUCUAAAGGAAAAGGCAUAUUCUGUUGUGAUCGACGUUUGAAUUAGUUUCAUGAAUCCAAGCAACCUCUCUCAAGUAUAUAGCCUUUCCUAUCCUUCUCUUUUCAGAUUUUUUUUUUAUAUAUAUUUCUGGCUGCUUAUGAUUCUUAAAGUUUUUAUAUGAUUUUAUCAGGAAUUCAACUCUUUGAUUAUUUGAUUAUUAUUAGCUUAUAUAAUGCAUAUGUAGGUUUUUUUGAACAAAUUUUUUUGAUAUUAUUUUAGCCUCGACUAACUCAAACAAAAUUUCCUUCUUUUCUUCUCUAUGUUGUAGUGUUGUACUAUGUUGGUACCAAACCAAAUACUCAAACAUUCACCAUCCCAAACCUCUGAGAUUCUGAUGUGUCAUUUUCAUACUAUAUGUUACUUUUCUAAUAUUAGGCCAGGAGCACUAAUAUACUUCACCAACCGAGCUAAAAAUGAACGUUCUACAUUGCCGACUUGUUCCAGCUCAUUGAGCCAGAUAAUCCUUUUGAGACAAUUAAAACUAGAAGACACAAGAUGGAAAGGCAGCGUGGACAACAAUGGUGAGUCUCCAUCAUCAUGUCUUCAACAAAGCAGAUUGACCUCAGUUCGUCACUUUUUUUAUUUUAUGUCGAAAAAAUAGCAAUAGACUAAAUAAUGUUUGAUUUUUUUUUUGUUUGGAUUGUGGAUUGAAGAUUUAGGUGUGAAACAGGUUUUAAUUUAGGGGAUUUGAAUAGUUGCUUAUUAUCUCAGGAAUGGAUCUCAUUUGGUGGAAGGUAAGCAUAUGCGAAUCCUGUUGUGGGAAGAUUAUAGUGUAUGAUGACUUUGAAGGCAUCGACAAAAUACCAAUUGUCAUUUUAAAUAUAUAGAUAUAGAUGAGGGGUAUUAAUUUCGUUAUUCCAAUUGUAGGGUACAAAUAAGAUCUAUCAGUUUCAUUUUGUGGUAAUUCAGUGAUACAACACUGGCUAGUAUAUGAAAGUUUCAUUACCAUAUCAUUGCAUGGAAAAACUGUUUAAGAUUUUACAGUCGAAUGGGCAAAUGCACAACUAUAUAAUACUGUAUCAUAGCUAACUUAUUGGUGAUAAAGACCAUAUAUAUGUCCGAUCAAUUUUGGGAACGGAUUAAUUAUAUAUCAUAUAUAACAAACAACAAUUAUAUAUAUAUGUGUGUGCACACACACCAAGUUUUCCACCUCCACAAAACUUUAUAUUGGGGAGGGGACCUGGUGGCAGUUAGCUGGAAAUUGGACCCUACCACUAAUAAUUUCGAUGCAUAAAGUUAAGAAAUUGUAGGCAGCUUUCAAUCGCAGUCCUCUCUGCUGGGUGACGUGUAUGCAUGAAACUCAUUCGACAUGCAUAAUUAAGAAGAUGCAACAAUUAUUGGAGUUUAAUAUAUUAUAUUAUUGGAUAAAUUAAUUGUCCGUUGUUUGUCGCACGGUCUAUUAUCGUUAUUUACUACUCCAUAGUCCAUAGGCUAAUUUCUGUUUCGAAGUUAUAUUUCAUACGAUGUGAUAGAUUUUGUAAAUUAUCAUAACGUAGAUUCUGAUAUAUGACGAAACUAAUCAAAUUUAAAUAAGCUAAGAAUGAAGAAUCAAUUACUUGGAGUUAGACAUUUUAAGAUGCGGAAGCAUUGCACAUGCGCUCUCGCUUGGUAUCGAAUAAUUUGUGCAAUCAGUUAUCACUUGUGCUAUUUGAUGGUCAUGUCAAUUGUUUUUCUUAGGUGCCUUUCCUUUCCACUUUCUUCCUUUUGAAUUGCUUUUCCUCGUCUGUCCGACUAAGUUAGUGCAUGGUCUUGUCAGCAGAAAGAUUUAUUUCAUAGCAUCCUAUGGUGAAGCAUUAAUAAAAUACAUUAAUAUAUACACAUGUAUACAUAUUUUAUAAGUUAUAUAUAUUUAUACUUGGCCGAAAUCCAAUAGGAGACAAAUCGGAUUUCUCUUUGAAUUUGUAAAUAGGAUAAUGUGAGCAAAACAUGCGCAGAUAUUCUAUAUAUUAUUUAAUAAUCCCAAUAAAUGAUGCACAAAGAAAAGCAGUCGGGCCUGAUAUAGACAAAACUCGAUCGUCCGCAUAAGUAUGUAUAUAUUGUCCAUUCAUCAAUUUAGCUUUUUAAUUUCCAACUUAAGUUUUUUUUUUUUCACGCACUACUUGAUAUUAGAAAAUUCAAUGAAUUCUGACUAAUUAAAAUUCAAGAGGAAUCAGUCCAUUAUUUGGGAGGUUCUCCUAAUUUUCUGAAAUACUUCUAAUUUAGUGGCCGAAUGUAUUGAUGGUAUCCAUCAAGGAAAUCAGUGGACCCUCCAUGGCCUGAAUGGGGUGUUCUCAGCCCUCCCCUGUGAUCGAGGAGUCCUUCACGAAUGCCCUGGACCGUGUUUGGUGGUCUUUUAGCUUCGACGUAGGACAGAGAUCCCCGGGUUAAGGCAAUCGUCGGUGGUUCAGUUCGGCCGCCUUCAAAAGGUCCUUUAUGUUGAUUGAGGGCGGGGAACCCCUGAUCAGAGGUCGAUCCUAUUAACGAGCUUAUCGCCCUUUUCUCAUGGAGGGACAAAGUCUUAAAUUGAGGGACUAAUUGAUUAGGAAAAAAAAAUCAAGUAUACGACUUACAUCGACAAAAGUUGCAAGGGCAUAUUGAUUUGUGACUGAUAAUGAAUGGGAACCGGAAACUAUUGCUUCCUACUUUCAAUGCAA